Caenorhabditis elegans is the source of this 21-nucleotide non-coding RNA. The record is from Ensembl. NCBI's taxonomy places the organism in Eukaryota, Metazoa, Nematoda, Chromadorea, Rhabditida, Rhabditidae.
UGGGCUUAUAUAAAAAUUCUA